RNAcentral lists this unclassified non-coding RNA (335 nucleotides) under soil metagenome. RNAcentral describes it as "partial contains 5.8S ribosomal RNA, internal transcribed spacer 2, and large subunit ribosomal RNA". The stretch from base 1 to 120 matches the Rfam family "5.8S ribosomal RNA", at positions 35 to 154 of the family's 154-position model. The record is from RNAcentral.
GAUGAAGAACGCAGCGAAAUGCGAUAAGUAAUGUGAAUUGCAGAAUUCAGUGAAUCAUCGAAUCUUUGAACGCACAUUGCGCCCGCCAGUAUUCUGGCGGGCAUGCCUGUUCGAGCGUCAUUUCAACCAUCAAGCCCCCGGCUUGUGUUGGGGACCUGCGGCUGCCCGCAGGCCCUGAAAACCAGUGGCGGUCUCGCUGUAGCUUCCUCUGCGUAGUAGCACACCUCGCACUGGGAAACAGCGCGGCCACGCCGUUAAACCCCCAACUUCUGAACGUUUGACCUCGGAUCAGGUAGGAAUACCCGCUGAACUUAAGCAUAUCAAUAAGCGGAGGA